RNAcentral lists this transfer RNA (74 nucleotides) under Toxoplasma gondii. RNAcentral describes it as "transfer RNA-Ala". It matches the Rfam family "tRNA". Rfam says of the family: Transfer RNA (tRNA) molecules are approximately 80 nucleotides in length. Their secondary structure includes four short double-helical elements and three loops (D, anti-codon, and T loops). Lineage: Eukaryota; Apicomplexa; Conoidasida; Eucoccidiorida; Sarcocystidae. The record is from RNAcentral.
UAGGGAUAUAGCUCAGGAGGUAGAGCACUUUUUUUGCAAAAAAGAAAUUUACGGUUCAAGUCCGUUUAUCUCCA